This 254-nucleotide ribosomal RNA is filed under the name uncultured bacterium. RNAcentral's name for it is "partial 16S ribosomal RNA". It matches the Rfam family "Bacterial small subunit ribosomal RNA", at positions 524 to 776 of the family's 1533-position model. The record is from RNAcentral.
UACGUAGGGUGCGAGCGUUGUCCGGAAUUAUUGGGCGUAAAGAGCUCGUAGGCUGUGUGUCACGUCGGCCGUGAAAACCUGCAGCUUAACUGUGGGCGUGCGGUCGAUACGGGCAUCACUGGAGUUCGGCAGGGGAGACUGGAAUUCCUGGUGUAGCGGUGAAAUGCGCAGAUAUCAGGAGGAACACCGGUGGCGAAGGCGGGUCUCUGGGCCGAUACUGACGCUGAGGAGCGAAAGCGUGGGGAGCAAACAGG